CUUGGGAGGCUGCGUCCGCGCGCCGGCGAGGCGAGGCGGCCGGGCCCUGCGCGUCAGGCCUGAGACCUGGGAGGAAGCUGGAGAAAAGAUGCCCUCUGAAUCUUUCUGUUUGGCUGCCCAGGCUCGCCUCGACUCCAAAUGGUUGAAAACAGAUAUACAGCUUGCAUUCACAAGAGAUGGGCUCUGUGGUCUGUGGAAUGAAAUGGUUAAAGAUGGAGAAAUUGUAUACACUGGAACAGAAUCAACCCAGAACGGAUAGCUCCCUCCUGGAAAAGUAGAGACGAGGUUUCACCGUGUUAGCCAGGAUGGUGUCGA
Molecule: long non-coding RNA, 315 nt
Filed under: Homo sapiens (human)
Lineage: Eukaryota; Metazoa; Chordata; Mammalia; Primates; Hominidae
Description: HSALNT0380344
Source: RNAcentral